Molecule: non-coding RNA, 94 nt
Organism: Ictidomys tridecemlineatus (thirteen-lined ground squirrel)
Lineage: Eukaryota; Metazoa; Chordata; Mammalia; Rodentia; Sciuridae
Source: Rfam
AAGACUAUACUUUCAGGGAUCAUUUCUAUAGUUUGUUACUAGAGAAGUUUCUCUGAUUGUGUAGAGUACCAAAAAAGGGAUGAUAAUGGCCUUU